CCUACGGGGGGCAGCAGUAGGGAAUCUUCCACAAUGGGCGAAAGCCUGAUGGAGCAACGCCGCGUGUGUGAUGAAGGGUUUCGGCUCGUAAAACACUGUUGUAAGAGAAGAAUGACAUUGAGAGUAACUGUUCAAUGUGUGACGGUAUCUUACCAGAAAGGAACGGCUAAAUACGUGCCAGCAGCCGCGGUAAUACGUAUGUUCCAAGCGUUAUCCGGAUUUAUUGGGCGUAAAGCGAGCGCAGACGGUUAUUUAAGUCUGAAGUGAAAGCCCUCAGCUCAACUGAGGAAUUGCUUUGGAAACUGGAUGACUUGAGUGCAGUAGAGGAAAGUGGAACUCCAUGUGUAGCGGUGAAAUGCGUAGAUAUAUGGAAGAACACCAGUGGCGAAGGCGGCUUUCUGGACUGUAACUGACGUUGAGGCUCGAAAGUGUGGGUAGCA
RNAcentral lists this ribosomal RNA (440 nucleotides) under uncultured bacterium. Its description in RNAcentral is "bacterial SSU rRNA". It matches the Rfam family "Bacterial small subunit ribosomal RNA", at positions 338 to 770 of the family's 1533-position model. The record is from RNAcentral.